This is a non-coding RNA of Hydra vulgaris (swiftwater hydra), 1289 nucleotides long. The record is from RefSeq and is a predicted model, not a curated record. Lineage: Eukaryota; Metazoa; Cnidaria; Hydrozoa; Anthoathecata; Hydridae.
GGACAAAAAAAAAUCUAUAAUUUGAAGUUUAUAGACUUUGUCUUAUAAUUUAUAGACUAGGUUAUAGACUUUGUCUUAUAAUUUAUUAUGCGACAAUGUAAUCUUUUAUUCUAAAAUACCAAAGGAAAUCCAAAUCAGCUCUUGCUUACAAUUGCUUUUAAAUUGAAAGUGUUGGAAAUUACCUAGAAUUUGUGGUGAAUUAAAAUGUAUCAAUCAAGUCAUAUGUAUCAAUCAAGCCAAAUGUAUCAAUCACGGUCAACUUAAAAUUUAAGAUAAAGAUUUGAACAUAGACAAUCUAAUCAAAUAUUUUAUGAUGCAAGAAAUUGUUGCAGAUUUUUUAAUCGCUACAAAGGGGCAUUCAUAAAAACUAAAGACAUCACAGAGAAAUAUUAACUGACAAAAAACUUGUAAUGUCGUGCAAAUAUCGGCCCGAUGCCUACGUUUUAUCUGAUUUAAUUCAAUUUAGGUAUAAGAGGUAUUAUUUCAGGAAUAUUUGUUAGAUAAUAAUAAACUAUGUUUAUUUGGAUAUUUAAGAUACUUUUGAUUGUUAACGUAAAACGAAUGAAUAUUGGAUUUGAGUUUAUGAGCAACAUUUGUAAAAAAAUAUUAAAUUCAGAGCUUAGAGUUAAUUAAGAGAUUAGAGUUGAGUCAGUUAUAUAAAUUUUUAUUUUUUUGGAAACAGUUGAAGGAUGGUUUAAUAAAAUUUUUGAAACUAGUUAGAAUGUUAAUGUCUUUCCAAAGUUUGCGAAGAUUUUUUAAAUUUUUUGAUAAAUAUUUUUUUAAUGGAUUUUUUUAAUAAGUUUAUAUAAUGUAAUGAUUAUAUAUUUAUUCUUAAACUUUCAAACUUGUUUUCAUUUAUACGAUUUUUAGAUUAAAACUUAGAUGUUAAUAUUAACAUUUUUUUUUGGAAAAGAUUGUGCACUUAAAUAGAUGUUAUAAUGCCUUUUGUAAUCCAUCGUUAGAAUUGACGAUUAAAGUUUUUUGAUACUUGGACCUUUUAACAUCAUAUCAGUCAAUUUUUGAUGAAUCAGAUUUAAAGUUUUCUUUAUUGAAGUUUUUAAAACUCCCGCUAUGUAAAUUGUGUCUGUGUGGUAUAAAUAAUUUAUUGAAAUUUGACAAAUGCAAAGUGAUCAGAAACAGAAGUUGUCAAAUUUCAUCAGUUAUUAAGUUAGAGAAAAUAAAAACCUAAUAACUGAUGAAAUAGUUUCAUCAGUUAUUAAGUAAGAGAAAAUAUUAUCAAUAAUUGUAGCAAAGUGAUCAGUCUAGUUGACAAAGUGAUAAAAGGACCA